This 253-nucleotide unclassified non-coding RNA is filed under the name uncultured Hygrocybe. RNAcentral describes it as "sequence contains ITS1". The stretch from base 1 to 105 matches the Rfam family "5.8S ribosomal RNA", at positions 50 to 154 of the family's 154-position model. Lineage: Eukaryota; Fungi; Basidiomycota; Agaricomycetes; Agaricales; Hygrophoraceae. The record is from RNAcentral.
GAAAUGCGAUAAGUAAUGUGAAUUGCAGAUUUCAGUGAAUCAUCGAAUCUUUGAACGCACCUUGCACUCCUUAGUAUUCUGAGGAGUAUGCCUGUUUGAGUGUCAUUGAAUAUUCUCAAUGUUAUUGGAAUUUGGGGUAUGCUUUUGGCUACUCUUAAAUGUUUUUUAAAAGCUUCAAUUGAUAACGAUUUAUUGAAGGCUUUUUUCCUUGACCCUUGACCUCAAAUCAGGUAGGACUACCCGCUGAACUUAA